GCCUGGGUGGCUUAGUCGGUUAAGCGUCCAACUUUGGCUUAGGUCAUGAUCUAGCAGUUCACGAGUUCGAGCCCCGCCUCGGGCU
This 85-nucleotide transfer RNA is filed under the name Felis catus (domestic cat). It matches the Rfam family "tRNA". Rfam says of the family: Transfer RNA (tRNA) molecules are approximately 80 nucleotides in length. Their secondary structure includes four short double-helical elements and three loops (D, anti-codon, and T loops). Further hydrogen bonds mediate the characteristic L-shaped molecular structure. tRNAs have two regions of fundamental functional importance: the anti-codon, which is responsible for specific mRNA codon recognition, and the 3' end, to which the tRNAs corresponding amino acid is attached (by aminoacyl-tRNA synthetases). tRNAs cope with the degeneracy of the genetic code in two manners: having more than one tRNA (with a specific anti-codon) for a particular amino acid; and 'wobble' base-pairing, i.e. permitting non-standard base-pairing at the 3rd anti-codon position. Lineage: Eukaryota; Metazoa; Chordata; Mammalia; Carnivora; Felidae. The record is from Rfam by way of RNAcentral.